Molecule: long non-coding RNA, 332 nt
Filed under: Homo sapiens (human)
Lineage: Eukaryota; Metazoa; Chordata; Mammalia; Primates; Hominidae
Description: non-protein coding lnc-DEFB116-4:1
Source: RNAcentral
GCCAUCAGUGAGGUGGUGACCUGGAAGUACACCAUCGACAUUCACAAGUGCAUCCAUGGAGUGAACUUUAAAAAGGCCCCUCAGGCACUCAAUGAGAUCCAGAAAUUUUCCAUGAAGAGAUGGGGUCUCCAAAUGUGAGGAUUGAUAUCAGGUUCAACAAAGCUGUUUGGGCUUAAGGAAUAAAGAAUGUCCUAUACCAUAUCCAUGUACAGUUGUCCAGAAAAUGUAAUGAGGAUGAAGAUUCACCAAACAAGCUCUAUACUUUGGUUACCUGCGUACCUGUUACCACUUUCAAAAAUCUACAGAAAGUCAAUGUGGAUAAGAACUGUUGA